Molecule: non-coding RNA, 219 nt
Organism: Pelobates cultripes (western spadefoot toad)
Lineage: Eukaryota; Metazoa; Chordata; Amphibia; Anura; Pelobatidae
Source: the annotation of a GenBank genome assembly
GCUUAAUGGUUUCAGGUGUCGUGCUAGUUCUAGAAUUCUGCAUUGCUUGUUAUCGCUGAUUUUGUGAGUUCGAACUCCUCACCAUCACAGUACACAGUAUUAUAUAGUAGUGUCCAUGGUCAGUGUUAGCAAGUGUCAAUGUGAAGUAGUUCAAGAAGAUGGGAAAAGAAUUCAAUCCCCAUUAGUGCAUGCCAAAGAGACUUCAAAACAGCUGAAGGG